Molecule: small nucleolar RNA, 75 nt
Organism: Chelonoidis abingdonii (Abingdon island giant tortoise)
Lineage: Eukaryota; Metazoa; Chordata; Testudines; Testudinidae
Product: small nucleolar RNA, C/D box 101
Source: Ensembl
GUUUGAAUGAUGACUCUCAAACAUGUCGGAUACCCCUUCACUCUUUUUAUGAGUGAUAAAAGUAGUCUGACAAAC